Molecule: small RNA, 210 nt
Filed under: Pseudomonas putida
Lineage: Bacteria; Pseudomonadati; Pseudomonadota; Gammaproteobacteria; Pseudomonadales; Pseudomonadaceae
Description: Pseudomonas sRNA P29
Source: RNAcentral
AAGCACUGAGGGGAGCCUGGGCUCCCCUCAAAUUUUGUUGCGUGUGCUCUUUUUAUUAUUGGAGGGUGGUCUAUUGUUGUUUUUGGCGACCCUUGCCUCUUGUUGCGUUGCGAUCCCCAUCCGGGAUCAAGAGCAAACGUAUUUUUUUGAGCGCUGAUCGACCUUUAUCAUUGCUGAUCCAACCGAGACGGGCGCUACCUUGGGGUAGUU